This 587-nucleotide ribosomal RNA is filed under the name uncultured bacterium. RNAcentral describes it as "bacterial SSU rRNA". It matches the Rfam family "Bacterial small subunit ribosomal RNA", at positions 66 to 650 of the family's 1533-position model. The record is from RNAcentral.
GCGGUAACAGAUCUAGCUUGCUAGAUGCUGACGAGCGGCGGACGGGUGAGUAAUGCAUAGGAAUCUGCCCGGUAGUGGGGGAUAACCUGGGGAAACCCAGGCUAAUACCGCACACGUCCUACGGGAGAAAGGGGGCCCCGGCUCCCGCUAUUGGAUGAGCCUAUGUCGGAUUAGCUAGUUGGUGAGGUAAUGGCUCACCAAGGCAACGAUCCGUAGCUGGUCUGAGAGGAUGAUCAGCCACAUCGGGACUGAGACACGGCCCGAACUCCUACGGGAGGCAGCAGUGGGGAAUAUUGGACAAUGGGGGGAACCCUGAUCCAGCCAUGCCGCGUGUGUGAAGAAGGCCCUCGGGUUGUAAAGCACUUUCAGCGAGGAAGAACGCCUAGUGGUUAAUACCCAUUAGGAAAGACAUCACUCGCAGAAGAAGCACCGGCUAACUCCGUGCCAGCAGCCGCGGUAAUACGGAGGGUGCAAGCGUUAAUCGGAAUUACUGGGCGUAAAGCGCGCGUAGGUGGCUUGAUAAGCCGGUUGUGAAAGCCCCGGGCUCAACCUGGGAACGGCAUCCGGAACCGUCAGGCUAUAGUGCA